UACGUAGGGAGCAAGCGUUGUUCGGAAUUACUGGGCGUAAAGGGCGCGUAGGCGGCGCGGUAAGUCACUUGUGAAAUCUCUGAGCUUAACUCAGAACGGCCAAGUGAUACUGCAGUGCUAGAGUGCAGAAAGGGCAAUCGGAAUUCUUGGUGUAGCGGUGAAAUGCGUAGAUAUCAAGAGGAACACCUGAGGCGAAGGCGGGUUGCUAGGCUGACACUGACGCUGAGUGCGCGAAAGCCAGGGGAGCAAACGGG
RNAcentral lists this ribosomal RNA (254 nucleotides) under uncultured bacterium. Its description in RNAcentral is "partial 16S ribosomal RNA". It matches the Rfam family "Bacterial small subunit ribosomal RNA", at positions 524 to 776 of the family's 1533-position model. The record is from RNAcentral.